AUUGUUCCUCCUGAGUUGCCGUAGCUUCGGUGUCCUCACAAUACCGUCUUGUGAUGCUGAGGAGCAGAGGAGCGGACAGUAGGAGACAGUAGACCAGAAGCCAUUCAUGUGAUAUUGUCUUCUGCAGAGUCCAGACCACAUUCACUCAGCCGCUCUAUGCUGGACUUGCGCUUGUUGGUUAUACUGGAGUCUCUGCUGAGUUGUGUAAACUGAAAUAGACAGAAGUCAUUUAAGGGUUAAAUUGUGUUUUAACUCUUCGACUUAUUUAGUCUCUAUGUUUGCUGCUGAGAGCUUAUUGUUGUGACAUAUUAUGUUCGCAAUGGUUUUUGUCAGUGUUUUCAACGUGUUUCACGUGUUUACACAUUUUUCUUGCUUUUUGUUAUUUUUUUUGCUUUUAUCAACUUUUUUUACCCUUUUUUUGCUUUUCUAAACGUUUUUGUAAAUUAAUUAGACGUUUUUUUUUGCUUGUAUUGAUGUUUUAGUUUGAGAAAAAUAUUUGGGGAGCCCCAGAAGCUCUCAAUGUGCUCAUUUGAGAUCUGUUAUUUUACCUGUAGAGGGAAGUCCAUAUACGGUUGGACAGGUGUGUCUGCAGGUUCACAGCUGUGCUGGGAGGGUUUGACCUACAGAGACAGAGUUACACGUAACGGACACACGUCUGUCAGAGACACAUGUAAUGGACACAAAAUGUCAUCAAAAAAAAUUACAAAAAGUAUAACAAAAGGGAAAUUCUUUCAAAAAACAAUGUCUAAAACCCAACAUGAAUGGUUUAAAAAUGCUACAAUAAAGUUUUCAACAAGAAUAUAGUCUGUUAGUUGUAGCCCUGCACCCAACUAUGUAUGCAUUUAAAUUCCAUUAAAGUGCCCAAUCACUUGUGUUUUUGGCCUACAAAGUCGCCUUCCAGGCAGCUGACACUAACCCUAACCCUAAACAUACCCAUUUCCGCACUACCUGGAUGGCGACUUUGGGGACAAAAAACACCAAACACUUGUUUACAGCUGCUCAUUCAAACUGUUGUUAAAACUACAAGAGGGGAAACCCUGACACCUGGUGGA
Molecule: RNA transcript, 1052 nt
Organism: Perca fluviatilis (European perch)
Lineage: Eukaryota; Metazoa; Chordata; Actinopteri; Perciformes; Percidae
Gene name: RNA-binding protein 33-like
Exons: 3
Source: RefSeq, a predicted model, not a curated record